Rana temporaria (common frog) is the source of this 132-nucleotide small nucleolar RNA. RefSeq annotates it as small nucleolar RNA SNORA72. The record is from RefSeq and is a predicted model, not a curated record. The transcript has a single exon. Lineage: Eukaryota; Metazoa; Chordata; Amphibia; Anura; Ranidae.
AUGCGAAUAUAUUCUCGCUGGAUUGAUCUGCCGUGAUCAUUCCAGGCUAGACGUUCGCUAGAAUAAAACUAGUCUUGUGUCCUCAGCACUGGUUAUCCCUACAGUUCUGAUUCUUAAAAGCUAGUUACAUGC